GACGUAGGGCGCGAGCGUUGUCCGGAUUUAUUGGGCGUAAAGAGCUCGUAGGCGGCUUGUUGCGUCGACCGUGAAAACCCGGGGCUCAACUUCGGGCUUGCGGUCGAUACGGGCGGGCUAGAGUUCGGUAGGGGAGGACUGGAAUUCCUGGUGUAGCGGUGAAAUGCGCAGAUAUCAGGAGGAACACCGGUGGCGAAGGCGGGUCUCUGGGCCGAUACUGACGCUGAGGAGCGAAAGCCAGGGGAGCAAACGGG
RNAcentral lists this ribosomal RNA (254 nucleotides) under uncultured bacterium. RNAcentral's name for it is "partial 16S ribosomal RNA". It matches the Rfam family "Bacterial small subunit ribosomal RNA", at positions 524 to 776 of the family's 1533-position model. The record is from RNAcentral.